RNAcentral lists this ribosomal RNA (492 nucleotides) under uncultured bacterium. RNAcentral's name for it is "partial 16S ribosomal RNA". It matches the Rfam family "Bacterial small subunit ribosomal RNA", at positions 28 to 507 of the family's 1533-position model. The record is from RNAcentral.
GGUGAACGCUGGCGGUGGGCCUAAGACAUGCAAGUCGAACGGCAGGACGGUAUGAGCUUGGUGGUACGGGUGGGGAGGGGCGGACGGGUGUGGGAGACAUAGGAAUCUAAGUUGUCGAGGGGGAGGACGUAGGGGCACUUACGCUAUUAGCGCAUACGACCUACGGGUGAAAGCAGGGGAUCUUCGGACCUUGCGCGAUUGAAUGAGCCGAUGUCGGAUUAGCUAGUUGGCGGGGUAAAGGCGCACCAAGGCGACGAUCCGUAGCUGGUCGGAGAGGCUGAUCGGCAACAUGGGAAGUGAGAGACGGACCAGAACACUACGGGAGGCACUAGUGGGGAAUAUUGGACAAUGGGCGCAAGCCUGAGCGAGACCCACCGCGUGCGUGACCAAGGCGAUCGGGAUGUAAAGCCCUGUGGUUGCGCCAGAAACGCAGACGGUUACCACGCCGCUGUUAUGAAGGUAACCAAAGAAUAAGCACCGGCUAACUCCGUG